CUUGGUCAUUUAGAGGAAGUAAAAGUCGUAACAAGGUCUCCGUUGGUGAACCAGCGGAGGGAUCAUUACAGAGUUGCAAAACUCCCUAAACCAUUGUGAACGUUACCUAAACCGUUGCUUCGGCGGGCGGCCCGGGUCCUUCCCGGCGCCCCUCGGCCCUCGCGGGCGCCCGCCGGAGGUAAACCAAACUAUUGCAUUGUAUGGCCUCUCUGAGUCUUCUGUACUGAAUAAGUCAAAACUUUCAACAACGGAUCUCUUGGUUCUGGCAUCGAUGAAGAACGCAGCGAAAUGCGAUAAGUAAUGUGAAUUGCAGAAUUCAGUGAAUCAUCGAAUCUUUGAACGCACAUUGCGCCCGCCAGUAUUCUGGCGGGCAUGCCUGUUCGAGCGUCAUUUCAACCAUCAAGCCCCCGGCUUGUGUUGGGGACCUGCGGCUGCCGCAGGCCCUGAAAUGCAGUGGCGGGCUCGCUGUCACUCCGAGCGUAGUAGUUACAUCUCGCUCUGGGCGUGCUGCGGGUUCCGGCCGUUAAAAGCCUUAUUUACCCAAGGUUGACCUCGGAUCAGGUAGGAAGACCCGCUGAACUUAAGCAUAUCAAUAAGCGGAGGA
This 604-nucleotide ribosomal RNA is filed under the name uncultured fungus. Its description in RNAcentral is "eukaryotic LSU rRNA". The stretch from base 237 to 390 matches the Rfam family "5.8S ribosomal RNA". The record is from RNAcentral. Lineage: Eukaryota; Fungi.